GCUGGUUCUCCCCGAAAGCUAUUUAGGUAGCGCCUCGUGAAUUCAUCUCCGGGGGUAGAGCACUGUUUCGGCUAGGGGGCCAUCCCGGCUUACCAACCCGAUGCAAACUGCGAAUACCGGAGAAUGUUAUCACGGGAGACACACGGCGGGUGCUAACGUCCGUCGUGAAGAGGGAAACAACCCAGACCGCCAGCUAAGGUCCCAAAGUCAUGGUUAAGUGGGAAACGAUGUGGGAAGGCCCAGACAGCCAGGAUGUUGGCUUAGAAGCAGCCAUCAUUUAAAGAAAGCGUAAUAGCUCACUGGUCGAGUCGGCCUGCGCGGAAGAUGUAACGGGGCUAAACCAU
RNAcentral lists this ribosomal RNA (344 nucleotides) under Salmonella enterica subsp. enterica serovar Oranienburg. Its description in RNAcentral is "partial 23S ribosomal RNA". It matches the Rfam family "Bacterial large subunit ribosomal RNA", at positions 848 to 1190 of the family's 2925-position model. The record is from RNAcentral. Lineage: Bacteria; Pseudomonadati; Pseudomonadota; Gammaproteobacteria; Enterobacterales; Enterobacteriaceae. RNAcentral also lists the same sequence under 1 other name.